RNAcentral lists this ribosomal RNA (1117 nucleotides) under uncultured organism. RNAcentral's name for it is "bacterial SSU rRNA". It matches the Rfam family "Bacterial small subunit ribosomal RNA", at positions 111 to 1265 of the family's 1533-position model. The record is from RNAcentral.
UAACACGUAGGUGAUCUACCCCAGAGACGGGGAUAACGGGUGGAAACAUCCGCUAAUACCGGAUAGGCUUGUUCGGUCAAAGGGACAAGGAAAGGCUCCGGCGCUCUGGGAGGAGCCUGCGGCCCAUCAGCUAGUUGGCGGGGUAACGGCCCACCAAGGCAGAGACGGGUAGGGGGUGUGAGAGCAUGGCCCCCCACAAUGGGACUGGAACACGGCCCAUACUCCUACGGGAGGCAGCAGCGGGGAAUAUUGCACAAUGGACGGAAGUCUGAUGCAGCGACGCCGCGUGGAUGAAGAAGGCCCUCGGGUUGUAAAAUCCUUUACAGGGGGAAGAGGAAGGACGGUACCCCUGGAACAAGUGUCGGCUAACUACGUGCCAGCAGCCGCGGUAAGACGUAGGACACAAGCGUUAUCCGGAUUUACUGGGCGUAAAGCGUCUGCAGGCGGACAGGUAAGUUGGGCGUGAAAGCUCCGGGCCCAACCCGGAGAGGUCGUUCAAUACUGCGUGUCUAGAGGGUGUCAGAGGGGAGUGGAAUUUCCGGAGUAGCGGUAAAAUGCGCAGAGAUCGGAAAGAACACCAAUGGCGAAGGCAGCUCCCUGGGGCAACCCUGACGCUAAGAGACGAAAGCUAGGGGAGCGAACAGGAUUAGAGACCCUGGUAGUCCUAGCCCUAAACGAUGGAUGCUGGAUGUGGGGCCAUAGCGCUCCGUGUCGAAGCGAACGCGUUAAGCAUCCCGCCUGGGGACUACGGCCGCAAGGUUAAAACUCAAACGAAUUGACGGGACCCCGCACAAGCAGCGGAGCGUGUGGUUUAAUUCGAUGCUACACGAAGAACCUUACCUGGGUUUGACAUCUAGGUGGUAGUGAAGCGAAAGCGGAGCGACCCUUCGGGGAGCCUAGACAGGUGCUGCAUGGCUGUCGUCAGCUCGUGCCGUGAGGUCUCGGGUUAAGUCCCGUCACGAGCGCAACCCUUGCCCUCCGUUAUAAGUGUCAGAGGGGACUGCCGGCGGUAAGCCGGAGGAAGGUGGGGACGACGUCAAGUCAGCAUGGCUUUUAUAUCCAGGGAUACACACUCGCUACAAUGACCAGUACAAAGGGCAGGGAAGCCUCGAGGUGG